AACAGGAUUGCUGGGUUAUAUGUUAAAUAUGCUUAACUUUAUAAGAAACUGCCAAAUUGUUUUCCAAAGUGAUUACAUGACAUUUAACAAUCUACCAGCUGA
This 102-nucleotide microRNA precursor is filed under the name Marmota monax (woodchuck). The record is from RNAcentral. Lineage: Eukaryota; Metazoa; Chordata; Mammalia; Rodentia; Sciuridae.